This 86-nucleotide transfer RNA is filed under the name Candidatus Accumulibacter similis. Its description in RNAcentral is "tRNA-Leu". The record is from RNAcentral. Lineage: Bacteria; Pseudomonadati; Pseudomonadota; Betaproteobacteria.
GCCUGUUGCUGCCGAUCGUUGAAAGUCUCGAGACUCAAAAUCCGCCGCCGCAAGGCGUGGGGGUUCGAUUCCCCCUCUCGGCACCA